GCCGCCCCCCGCGGGGUUUGCCCCCUCCGGGGUCUUGCUGCGUGCGCGGCUCCUCUGCACGCAGCGAGCCGGGCUGCUCUUCCUCCCCCCCGCCUCCUCCUCCUCUCCGGCUGCACAAAGAGCAACAGUGAAGGCCCUGGCUUGCUUUUAAAGGCAGCGGCUGGAAAUUUAAGGUGUCCCAGAGCCAUGUCUCCCCGCAGCGCUCCUCGCCGCACUCCGUGGAUAAAUGGUUGUUGCAGUUCCUCACCUUGUAGGUCUGAGGCGGUUGGGUUGCCGUUAAUUGCUCUUGGGUUUGUUUUGGACUGAUCAGCAGAGAAACUGAUACCGUUGCUCUGGGGUGGGAAAGGCCAGCAGUCUGUGCGAGAGAACCAUGUCUGUUCGGGAGUCGUUUAACCCAGAAAGUUACGAACUGGACAAGAGCUUCCGUCUGACCCGAUUCACUGAACUGAAAGGCACAGGCUGCAAAGUGCCUCAGGAUGUCUUACAGAAACUGCUCGAAUCUCUACAAGAAAACCAUUUUCAGGAAGAUGAACAGUUCCUGGGGGCAGUUAUGCCCAGGCUGGGAAUUGGGAUGGACACUUGCGUUAUUCCAUUAAGACAUGGAGGUUUGUCGUUGGUCCAGACAACAGAUUAUAUUUAUCCUAUUGUGGAUGAUCCUUAUAUGAUGGGACGGAUAGCGUGUGCCAAUGUCCUAAGUGACCUUUAUGCCAUGGGGGUCACAGAAUGCGACAACAUGUUGAUGCUCCUUGGAAUCAGCAAUAAAAUGACAGAUAGGGAAAGAGACAAAGUGAUGCCUCUAAUUAUCCAGGGUUUCAAAGAUGCAGCAGAAGAGGCAGGAACAUCUGUUACUGGUGGCCAAACAGUGUUAAAUCCCUGGAUUGUUUUAGGAGGAGUGGCCACGACAGUCUGUCAGCCUAAUGAAUUUAUAAUGCCAGACAAUGCAGUGCCAGGAGAUGUGCUUGUAUUAACUAAACCCUUGGGAACUCAAGUGGCUGUAGCUGUCCACCAGUGGCUAGAUAUUCCAGAAAAGUGGAAUAAAAUCAAACUAGUGGUAACGCAAGAAGAUGUAGAACUAGCAUACCAGGAAGCAAUGAUGAAUAUGGCACGACUGAACAGAACAGCUGCUGGACUCAUGCACACUUUCAAUGCACAUGCAGCUACAGACAUCACAGGAUUUGGAAUCCUGGGGCAUGCACAAAACCUUGCCAAGCAGCAGCGAAAUGAGGUGUCCUUUGUUAUUCAUAACCUUCCUGUUCUUGCUAAAAUGGCUGCUGUCAGUAAGGCUUGUGGCAAUAUGUUUGGCCUCAUGCACGGGACUUGUCCAGAGACUUCAGGAGGCCUCCUCAUCUGUUUACCACGAGAACAGGCAGCACGUUUCUGUGCCGAGAUCAAGUCUCCAAAAUACGGUGAAGGUCACCAAGCAUGGAUUAUCGGCAUUGUAGAGAAGGGCAACCGCACGGCCAGAAUUAUAGACAAACCACGAAUCAUUGAAGUCGCACCACAGGUGGCCACUCAAAACGUGAACCCGACGCCCGGUGCCACCUCUUAAUAUAGAUGAAAUAGCUGUUUGUUUUUAAAUAGAUCUAUUCCUUUAUCAUCCUACAAUUUAAAGAACUGUAAAAAGAAAAGAAAACUUGUUGUGUCUGCACAUCUGGUGGCCUUAGCACAAAGUAUGCGACGGUUUUGAAUUGUUUCCUCUGCAAGUCCUGGCUGUGCCUGCUGUAAGCUAGAGGAGGGUUCGUGAGCAGCCCUGUAAGUGGAACGGAUGCUGAAACCCGUCUUUUCCCCGACGGCACCGUAAGCUGCCCCGUUGCAGCAGGCUCACUGCUAACUCCGCUCUGCUGAGACACACCAUGCGGCUCUUCUGCUGAAUGGGACUGAGCGCGCUUCACUGAACCGGCUCUUUUUAAGCCUUUUCCAGAUUGUGGAAUUUGCUCCUUGAUAUUCAGACCAGGAAGAAGAAAAUCUUGGAUAACCAUUACUGCCACCAGCACGAAUUACAAGGGCUUCUGUAUGAAAAAUGAGUCUCUAGAGAUGAACCAGUCUUGUGCAUCAUGCAAGGUUUAAAUUUCCAGUCUUGCUCCUAGUGAAGACUCUGGCAAAACUUGGCUCAUCUGUUUUCCACUCAGUAGUGUUCUCAACAGAUACCUUUUGCAAAGGUAUAAUUUUUCUCCCCCCCCCCCCCCCAUGAGUAGCCUAAACCACACAGAACCUCACGCUCCUUUUCCUGGAGAAGUCUGCAAGUUGCGUGUUCACAACAAACCCUCAAAGCAGUAACUGAGUUUUUGACUUUGC
This is an RNA transcript of Aptenodytes forsteri (emperor penguin), 2295 nucleotides long. It is a transcript of the gene named selenophosphate synthetase 1, with no coding region annotated. The transcript is spliced from 10 exons. The record is from RefSeq and is a predicted model, not a curated record. Lineage: Eukaryota; Metazoa; Chordata; Aves; Sphenisciformes; Spheniscidae.